UUAAAUAAUAAAAAUUUGUAUAUUUAUACUAUAGCUAUAGUAGAGCAUAUAUAUAUAUAUAUAACCUUUAAUUGGGUUGUUGAAACUAAUCCAUUAAGUUUCAAUUUUGUAACUUUAUGAAUCAUUAUUUCUCUGAAUUACUAUAUAUCCUUCCCUUGCUUUCAACCCAAUUGAGAAAACUCCCUUUAUAAUUUAGUGGAUAUACAAAUAAUGUAUCAAUUUAAAAUGAUCUAAAAAAAUUCUAUGUUUGUAUAAGAAGAUGAAUCAAGACAUAUUUUUCUCAAUGUAUCGAUAUUAAAU
RNAcentral lists this long non-coding RNA (300 nucleotides) under Durio zibethinus. RNAcentral describes it as "long non-coding RNA (DZIB_LNC001654)". Lineage: Eukaryota; Viridiplantae; Streptophyta; Magnoliopsida; Malvales; Malvaceae. The record is from RNAcentral.